ACGAACGCUGGCGGCGUGCCUAAUACAUGCAAGUCGAGCGGAAUGAUGAAGAAGCUUGCUUCUUCUGAUUUUAGCGGCGGACGGGUGAGCAACACGUGGGCAACCUACCUUGUAGAUUGGGAUAACUCCGGGAAACCGGGGCUAAUACCGAAUAAUCCAUUUUGCUUCAUGGCGAGAUGUUGAAAGACGGUUUCGGCUGUCACUACAAGAUGGGCCCGCGGCGCAUUAGCUAGUUGGUAGGGUAAUGGCCUACCAAGGCGACGAUGCGUAGCCGACCUGAGAGGGUGAUCGGCCACACUGGGACUGAGACACGGCCCAGACUCCUACGGGAGGCAGCAGUAGGGAAUCUUCCACAAUGGACGAAAGUCUGAUGGAGCAACGCCGCGUGAGUGAAGAAGGUUUUCGGAUCGUAAAACUCUGUUGUAAGGGAAGAACACGUACGAGAGUAACUGCUCGUACCUUGACGGUACCUUAUUAGAAAGCCACGGCUAACUACGUG
This 499-nucleotide ribosomal RNA is filed under the name uncultured bacterium. Its description in RNAcentral is "bacterial SSU rRNA". It matches the Rfam family "Bacterial small subunit ribosomal RNA", at positions 29 to 507 of the family's 1533-position model. The record is from RNAcentral.